UAGGGAAUAUCGCACAAUGGAGGAAACUCUGAUGCAGCGACGCCGCGUGAGUGACGAAGGCCUUCGGGUUGUAAAGCUCUGUUCUCAGGGAAAAAGAAAGUGAUUGUACCUGAGAAGAAAGGACCGGCUAACUUCGUGCCAGCAGCCGCGGUAAGACGAGGGGUCCAAGCGUUGUUCGGAAUCAUUGGGCGUAAAGCGGGUGUAGGUGGAUCUAUAAGUCAGGAGUGAAAGCCCCGAGCUUAACUUGGGAAGUGCUUUUGAUACUGUAGAUCUUGAAUGUGGGAGAGGAUCGUGGAAUUCCAGGUGUAGUGGUGAAAUACGUAGAUAUCUGGAGGAACACCGGUGGCGAAGGCGGCGAUCUGGCCCAACAUUGACACUGAGACCCGAAAGCGCGGGGAUCAAACAG
Molecule: ribosomal RNA, 406 nt
Filed under: uncultured bacterium
Lineage: Bacteria
Description: bacterial SSU rRNA
Rfam family: Bacterial small subunit ribosomal RNA
Source: RNAcentral